UCGCACGGGGACCCCAGAAACGCUCCCGCCGCAGUCGGUGAAUUAAUCGUUGGCGUGAUGUCUGACCCGCGCCCACCCCCUGCUAGAGGCGGGGACCCUCGGGUCCUGCUGACCGCCCUGGCCCCGGGGCCUCGAACUGUGCCGGGCGCAGAGGGCGCGCGCUGAUUUUUAAAUAGUGCUGUGACGAACAUCUUUGAUGAUAUGGGCUUGGAAGCCGUCUGAGUAUUUCCUCAGGGAAGAUUCCUAGAAGAGACACUGAUGGGCCAAAGGCUCUGAUGCGUUUUGCCAAAAUGCCCUCCAGAAACGCCCGUGUGAGUGCUAUCCGCCCACUGGCUGGCAAGCAGCCGUUCUGCUCUCCUGCCAGCCCUGGGUCCUGUCGUUCCGUGUCAUCUCUGGCAAUCUCAGGGGCCUCACCUGCGCCCUGUGAGGUCUUCAUUGGAGGAAUAAGAAGAAGUGUCUGUUUUUUUUUGUGUGUGUGAGGAAGAUUAGCCCUGAGCUAACAUCUGCCAAUCCUCCUCUUUUUGCUGAGGAAGACCGGCCCUGGGCUAACAUUCGUGCCCAUCUUCCUCUACUUUAUAUGGGACGUCGCCACAGCAUGGCUGGAUAAUCAGUGUGUAGGUCCAGGCCUGGGAUGCGAACCUGCGAAUUCUGGGCCGCCGAAGCAGAGCGCUUGAACUUAAGCGCUACGCCACCGGGCUGGCCCGAGGCGUCUAUUUUUAUCAGAACUCUCCUGUUGUGAGAGGUCCCGGCUUUGGCAUUGGGGACUCAAGUUUCCCUCUAAUCGGGCUCCUCACUGUGCAGGUUUGGGGUCUCCUGGCGUCAGCUCGCAGGCUGCCUUCCCACUGUUGUUGCAGUAGACGCAUCUGCCAUCUGGAAGUGGGGCCACCUGCUCUCCUCCGAGGGAGCAGGGAUCCCCGGCAUCUCUCUGCUCAGCCCAGGGCUGAGGCUUCUAGAGUGACAGUCAGUACCUCUGCUGUCCCGAAGGUGGGCGAGCGGUGGGGUCAGGGAUGAGAGCAGUGGGCAUCGGACAUGAGGGCCUGUGGUCAGGCUCUGGGGCCCUGUGCCGGUCACUGCACCCCUCUGGCCCUCCAUUUGCCAUUCUGUCAAGGGAGCAGAGAAUCUGUAGGGACCUUCUCGAUGUUCCUCUCCAUACAGGAGUAGAGGCACCUCCAGGGGGCCGGCCGGGGCGCCUCGUGAGACCUCGUGAGUGGGUGCUCGUUGGAGAAGCUAGAAGGCCCUAUGUUUGUAUCUGAAGAGUUAAUGACACUCUCCUAAUUAAAGAGACCCCAUGAAAGAAGGCGCCUUUCCCCCGCACGUGAGGACGUGUGACAGUCCCGGGAGGACGUGGGGGACGCAGCCUCCCUGCGUUGGCGGGAGGAUAACCGAAUGCCUCCCUGGCGUGUCUGUGAACUGUAGGAUGCGCCGACCCCACUUUGAGGACUCUCUCCUGAGGUCACGCUACAGGCGCAUCUCUGCAAAGACUGUUCCUCACUUAUCAAAGCAGAAAACCCUGAACGGCCGACAGGAGGGCGACAGGAAACAAAGGAUGCGGCACCGUCACCGAUGAGCCUCUGUUGGAAGGAGUGAGGUCGGUCCGUGUGUCCACGGGAGCAGGUCAGUGUGACGCCUCAUCCUGGUGGCCUUCACAGGCGGGUAGCGGGGGUGUCAGGUGACCUGCUGCCUGGCCGAGUGGAUGCACUGUCUCAUUUUUCUCGCCAGGGCGUGUGAGCAACCAUUAGCCUCGAGCUUUCCUCCGGGAAGUGGCCUGGGGUGGGGGGCCGGCAAGGAGACGGUUGUUGUUCCGGCUGACUCCUUUUACACUGUUUCAGCUUUUUAAAUCAUGAGCAUUGCUUUCGUAUAUAAAAAAAUUAACUCAUAUAAAAUAUUUAAUGGAAACGUGUGAGUGUUCAUGUGUGCAAGUGCAGUCAUGGCCACACUCUCCCCAGAGCCAGGUCCAAGUGACUCUGCCGACUCGAUUCGAUCUUUGUGAAUUUUAUUUUUGCAAAACAAUCUCAAAAAUCUUUUACCUCAGCAGCGACUUUUUUUU
This is a long non-coding RNA of Diceros bicornis minor, 2047 nucleotides long. RefSeq lists it as uncharacterized. The transcript is spliced from 3 exons. The record is from RefSeq and is a predicted model, not a curated record. Lineage: Eukaryota; Metazoa; Chordata; Mammalia; Perissodactyla; Rhinocerotidae.